CGGAAACAUCGGUUACAUACUCGUAUUCAACUUUAUACAUAUGUUAAUUUGUAGCACUUUUAUAUUUAAUCACUAUUUAAAAAUAAGAAUGAAAACCUACAUCAGUUGUGUAGUGCUUUUAUGUAGCAUUUGUGUGGCAUUAUCCAUCCAUCCAUCCAUCCAGCUUCCACCGCUUACUCCUUUUCAGGGUCGCGGGGGAACCUGGAGCCUAUCCCAGGGAGCAUCGGACACAAGGCGGGGUACACCCUGGACAGGGUGCCAAUCCAUCGCAGGGCAGUGUGGCAUUAUCUCUUAAUAAAAUAAUCCAUGAAGCAGGUGAGGACAUUUUGCCCCAGGAGCCAUGCAAGACUACAACUAGACCAGAUGGGGGCAGUGGUACAUCUCAACUCCACUGAUCGUUCACCCAAAACCAUCCAAACACUCCAAGAUAACACACACUGCCCUACUGCUGUCAACAUUUCCUUUUCUUCCCCUUUCAAACAGUGUCUUUAAGAGCAACACUUGCUCCUGUCUUGGCUCAAAAGAUCAGUUAAGCUCACACUACUGCAGUGAUAUUAUAUUGAGUGAGUGCAUAUAGUGUACAUAGAAUGUGUUUACAAGCAAAAAGAAUAAUUGCAAGAGCAGGAAUAAAAAAUAAAAAAACCCUGUCGGGGUUCAGGAACUGUCAGGAUCAGAAUUCAUAGAUAACACUGACAGAGAAAAACUAAAGCAAAAGCAAACAAUUAAAAAACCCUUUACAGUUUAGAACAACUGUGUAUUAGAGGUGUAACUUAAUACCAGUAUUCGGAUUUAAGCUUGAUGUAGGCGUUGUCUAAACAAAAUUAUUAUUAUUAUUAUUAUUAUUAUUAUUAUUAUUAUUAUUAUUAUUAUUAUUAGUAUUUUAAAUAUGAACCUACCACUAUGACCCAAAGAAACACUGAAAAUAAACUCAGAGGUAGCCGUGUCAACACCGUCUGUGACUUCUGGCUCUGAGAGUUCCUCAAACUCAGCUACAUCACUGGUGUUAAUAACUACAGAUGUAUGCAUGACUGUUUUUAAUCCUGCUUGUGCAAUUAUUAGGGCCAAGCAUCGCAGGUGUGUAGGCACCUAUUGUAACUGUUUGUGUCUGGCAUGCUUGGCCCCAUAAUUGCUGCUUGCUGCUUUGUUUGUAUCUGUCUGCGAUCUUUUCUUACAAAUUUAGUUCUUCAAUUUCCCAAAAUAUAAACAAACUACUAGCCUACUUGAAACCAUUGUGACUCUGAUCAGGCAGUUACUAAGAAUGAAUGAAUGAACAGUGCAUGUUAAUGAAUGUGAUAUUUCUUCAUACUUGGACUUUUAAUCUUCUUUAGACACCAUUUGCUUUGUUCUGUUAUAUUUAAUUUAAAUGUGAUUGUAAGAUCCCAGCACAAUGUUUACUGUUGUUGUCUUUUACGGAUCAGUGCCAGACAUUAUUCCAGUCAGUGCAACUUUCUAAUUUGUUUGUUAUGUUUACUACUGGUUUUCACAAUAGAGCACAUAAUAUUGAAGUGGAGGAAAAUCAGUAUAGUUUACAAAUCAGUUAUUUACAUAUCUAAACCAUGAAAAUUUUGAUUGCAUAAGUGUUCACUGAACAUUUUGGCCUUGACACAAAGUGUUAUGUUUGGCUGAAACCUAACACAUUGCACAGUGAAGCAUGGUUGUGGUAGCGUCAUGUGUUUUUCAUCAGUAGGGACUGUGAUACUGGUCAGGGUUGUGGACAAGAUGGAUGGAUCCAAUUUCAGAGAAAUACUAGAAGAAAACCUGUUCCAGUCUGCAAGAAACUUGGGACUAUGGCAGUAGUUCACCUUCCAAAGGAUUAGAACUCUAAGCAUAUUGCCAAAGCUACAAUGGAGUAAUUCAAAACCAAGAAC
This is a long non-coding RNA of Ictalurus punctatus (channel catfish), 1868 nucleotides long. Lineage: Eukaryota; Metazoa; Chordata; Actinopteri; Siluriformes; Ictaluridae. The record is from Ensembl.